Molecule: long non-coding RNA, 379 nt
Organism: Asterias rubens (European starfish)
Lineage: Eukaryota; Metazoa; Echinodermata; Asteroidea; Forcipulatida; Asteriidae
Exons: 3
Source: RefSeq, a predicted model, not a curated record
CCUGCCUGCAGCUCCAGUCUCGUCAUACAGCCUGGCAUCAAGAACAACAUUCUCUGUAAACAGCUCCAGUCUCCAAAAGUUCAACAUGUCAACAUGAAUGUCUGAGCCCCACUUAUCAUCAUACAUCUUGGCAUAAAGAACUACCUUCUCUGUAAACAGGAAGGCUUUCGACGUUCCACAUGGCAAGAUACACUUCACUGUUAUUUGAACAGUCCUAGUGUUACCUUUUUUUUCUUGUGCUUAAGAAAAUCAGUUUUGUUAAACUUUAAACACCUUUCUGCUUCCUUUCCUGUGAUUUAUAUUUUCGCUUGCAAUUUGCAUGAGUUUGUUGAUGUGUUCCUGUCUGGUGCAUGCUUAAAUUUUUUUGUUUGUGAAUGCG